CCUACGGGAGGCAGCAGUGAGGAAUAUUGGUCAAUGGCCGAGAGGCUGAACCAGCCAAGUCGCGUGAGGGAAGACGGCCCUACGGGUUGUAAACCUCUUUUGUCGGGGAGCAAAGAGAGUCACGUGUGACUCAUUGAGAGUACCCGAAGAAAAAGCAUCGGCUAACUCCGUGCCAGCAGCCGCGGUAAUACGGAGGAUGCGAGCGUUAUCCGGAUUUAUUGGGUUUAAAGGGAGCGUAGGCCGGUCUUUAAGCGUGCCGUGAAAUUUUGUGGCUCAACCAUGAGAGUGCGGGGCGAACUGGAGACCGUGAGUGCGCGGAAGGCAGGCGGAAUUCGUGGUGUAGCGGUGAAAUGCUUAGAUAUCACGAAGAACCCCGAUUGCGAAGGCAGCCUGCCGCAGCGUUACUGACGCUGAAGCUCGAAAGCGCGGGUAUCGAACAGGAUUAGAUACCCGGGUAGUC
Molecule: ribosomal RNA, 460 nt
Filed under: uncultured bacterium
Lineage: Bacteria
Description: partial 16S ribosomal RNA
Rfam family: Bacterial small subunit ribosomal RNA
Source: RNAcentral